CCUUGCGCAUUUGUGAAUACUUAUUUUUAAGGCGAAACGGACAAUCUAGAUAAUGUGUUACAAUAUGUACUACUUUUAGGGUAUGAAAUCUUAAUAUUUUUUCACAACCAUAAUGAUCAAGGCUCAAAUGAUCGAUUUAAAUGUUUUCCGGCACUAGAACAACUGUUUUUGGUGAGUUUUGAAGUAAGGUUUUACUUAUUUUGAUAUGGCCGCAACACUAUCGAAACAUUUUCCUUAAAAAGAAUUAUCUCUAUGUCCUAUUUUCCUUCCAUGUAUUUUUUUUUGUAUUUUUAAAUUUUUUUUAUUUUUUUAUUUCUCCCAAAAUGCCUCUCAAGAACUCAAGUUCCAAACCAGUGUAUUUCCUUUUAGAAAAUUGUUUAAUGAGGAUUGCAUUUCUAUAUUUACGGUAACCGAGGCAUAAAGCAUCCAUCUUAAAGAUGGAUGCAAAUAGGUGGUCCAUAUCCUUCCUUUUUUGCCUCAUUUUCUGUUUGAAACUUCCAAGUUUUCCACUGAAUUUUGUUUACUUAUAUAUUUAUAAAAAAUUACCCCUUAAAAAGAUUGAGUAUACCUAGGAAUUUUGUUUACUUCCAAGUAAAAAUUUUGCUCUAAAUACUAUUGUGCUUAAGUCAAGUCGAUUAAAUGUUGGAUUAUUUUUAAUCAGUAGUUGUUUUGUUUAUCACCAUUGAGGGUUACAUGUCAUUGUUAUAAAUAAAUUUGGUUUUCCAAAAUUUUUUAUGACAGCCAUGGCAUCUUGGUAUCUUGAUUGCAUGUCUCUCGGUCCUCCAAUAAAAUAUGAUGGUAAAGUAAUUCUUUGACCAAUAUUACAUGCUCGAAAUUCACCAUGUAGCACAACAUCAUGCAAUCCUUUGUACAUCUCCACUCUAAGUUUAUCUUGAUUGUUUGCUACAUAUCUCAAUCUUCUUGUUUCAAUUUUCACAUACAUAUUAAUUAUAUAUUAUUGGAACAACCUUCCUGCAUGUAUUAGCAAAUUUCUUUCCUGAUGUCGAAUUUAUAACUUGUAAUUGUAAUUUUCUCUUAAUGAAACAUAUUGUUUUUUCUCAAA
RNAcentral lists this long non-coding RNA (1063 nucleotides) under Amborella trichopoda. Its description in RNAcentral is "long non-coding RNA (ATRI_LNC001054)". The record is from RNAcentral. Lineage: Eukaryota; Viridiplantae; Streptophyta; Magnoliopsida; Amborellales; Amborellaceae.